This 510-nucleotide ribosomal RNA is filed under the name uncultured bacterium. RNAcentral's name for it is "partial 16S ribosomal RNA". It matches the Rfam family "Bacterial small subunit ribosomal RNA", at positions 28 to 507 of the family's 1533-position model. The record is from RNAcentral.
GACGAACGCUGGCGGCGUGCUUAACACAUGCAAGUCGAACGAAGAGCGAUGGAAGCUUGCUUCUAUCAAUCUUAGUGGCGAACGGGUGAGUAACGCGUAAUCAACCUGCCCUUCAGAGGGGGACAACAGUUGGAAACGACUGCUAAUAACGCAUACGAUCUGACCUCGGCAUCGAGGAAAGAUGAAAGGUGGCCUCUACAUGUAAGCUAUCACUGAAGGAUGGGAUUGCGUCUUAUUAGAUAGAUGGGGGGGUAACGGCCCACAAAGGCGAUGAUCAGUAAGCGGUCGGAGAGGAUGGACGGCCCCAUUGGGACUGAGAAACGGCCCCGGCCCCUGCGGGAGGCAGCAGUGGGGAAUCUUCCGCAAUGGACGAAAGUCUGACGGAGCAACGGCGCGUGGGUGAUGACGGCCUUCGGGUUGUAAAGCUCUGGUAAUCGGGAUGAAAGGCCUUUUUGCGAAUAGUGGGAAGGAUUGACGGUACCGGAAUAGAAAGCUCCGGCUAACUACGUG